Molecule: ribosomal RNA, 2479 nt
Filed under: Cystodytes sp. TG-2008
Lineage: Eukaryota; Metazoa; Chordata; Ascidiacea; Aplousobranchia; Polycitoridae
Description: bacterial SSU rRNA
Rfam family: Eukaryotic small subunit ribosomal RNA (bases 1-2155)
Source: RNAcentral
UCAGUNNUNAUGGCUUGUCUCAAAGAUAAGCCUGCAAGUCUAAGUACGAGCCGGCGUCGCCGGCGAAACUGCGAAUGGCUCAUUAAAUCAGUCGCGUUCUCUUUGGUCUUGGGCCGAGAGCGAGCCAUCAAUUGGACAACUGUGGCAAUUCUAGAGCUAAUACAUGCCAAAAGCGCCGACUUCGGGAGGCGCGCCCUUGCCCGUGCGGGCGUCGGUGGGGCGUCGUGGAAACGCGGCGCUCGUUUAUCUGCGUCGACGAAUCUGGACAAGUGCCAGCGGAUCGACCGGCCGCGUGUGCGUCCGUACCCCGGGCGGGGACGGCCGGCGACGAACCAUUCGAGCAUCUGCCCUAUCAACUACGGUCGGUAGUAAAGCGGACUACCGAGGUGCUCACGGGUGACGGGGAAUCAGGGUUCGAUUCCGGAGAGGGAGCACGAGAAACGGCUACCACUUCCAAGGAAGGCAGCAGGCGCGCAAAUUACCCACUUCUGACCCGGAGAGGUAGUGACGAGAAAUAACGAUGCGGCCCUGGAAAAGGGACCGCAAUCGGAAUGAGCGCAGUCCAAGUCGCUGAACUUUGGACGGUCGGUCGGCCGUUCGCGCGGUCGGCCGGCUUCCCGAGCGAGUAUCGAUUGGAGGGCAAGCCUGGUGCCAGCAGCCGCGGUAAUUCCAGCUCCAAAGUGUAUACUAAUGCUGCUGUGGUUGAAAAGCUCGUAGUUGGUUGCGCCUGGAGAGCUGCCGGGGGAAGAGCGCGCGCGACGCGUCCGAGGUCGUCGCUCGCGCGGCGAAGGAAGAUGCGCGCGUGCGACCCGGCGGCGAAUGGCAAGGGGCCGCGUCGUUCGUGAGGGCGGCGCGGCUCGUUCGGUACGGCCCGGGGUGGCGUUCCUUAACCGGGCGCCGCUUUCCGGCGAGUCGAACCGAGGCUACUUUGAAUAAUCUGGAGCGUUCAAAGCGGGCCCGCGACGCCCCUGGGGCGUGACGGCCGCGAACAAGCGUGCAUGGAAUGGCAGAACAGGGCCGCGGCGCGACAGCGUGCCGACGCUAGAGCCCGUCGAAGCACGCGGCAAUGAUCGAGAGGGACGGACGGGGGCAUUCGUACCGUGCCGCGAGAGGUGAAAUUCAGAGACCGGCGCGAGACGAACCGAAGCGAAGGCGUCUGCCAAGGACGUUUUCUUUAAUCAAGAGCGAAAGUCGGAGGCUCAAAGACGAUCASAUACCGUCGUAGUUCCGACCCUAAACGAUGCCGACCGCCUCGCCGCCGAUAAUGCUUUGGCCUUCCAGGGCCGGAUGGCUCGGUUGCGGGGCCGUGAGGGAAACCGGAGUCUUCGGGUUCCGGGGGAAGUAUGGUCGCAAAGCUGAAACUUAAAGGAAUUGACGGAAAGGCACCACCAGGAGUGGAGCCUGCGGCUUAAUUUGACUCAACGCGGGAAAACUCACCCGGUCCGGACACGGCAAGGAUUGACAGACUGAAAGCUCUUUCUCGAUUCCGCGGGUGGUGGUGCAUGGCCGUUCUUAGUUGGUGGAACGAUUUGUCUGGUUGAUUCCGAUAACGAGCGAGACUCGGGUCUGCUAAAUACGCCGACGACUUCGGGGUUUGUACCCUCGGAGAUUGCCUAACCGGCGUCUGCCAGUUCUGCGUGCCAUACGCGUUCGGGGAGCGCCAGCUUGGCGACACGUCUUCUUAGAGGAAACUGCGACGCCACAAAGAGAUUGUAAAGUCGAACGAAACCGAGCGAUAACAGGUCUGUGAUGCCCUUAGAUGUCCGGGGCCGCACGCGCGCUACAAUGGCCGGAUCAGACGGUGCCCAAGGCCGCCCGCAAUCGUGCGUGUGCGGACUUCCCGGGUCGUGAGGCCCGGGUAACCCGCCAAAUCCGACCGUGAUCGGGACGGAGGCUUGCAAUUGUUUCUCUCGAACGAGGAAUUCCUAGUAGUCGCGAGUCAUUAUCUCGCGUCGAUUACGUCCCUGCCCUUUGUACACACCGCCCGUCGCUACUACCGAUCGAGCGCCCCAGCGAGCUCCUUGGAGCGGCUUCCCGAACGCGCCGCGUCCGCGCGGCUCUACUGGGUUGCCGCGAAGAGGAUCGAACUUGGGCGCUUAGAGGAAGUAAAAGUCGUAACAAGGUUUCUNUAKGUGAACNUGCGGAANGAUCNUUAUNNAAAACGUGAUUGAGCAGCGGNUGCACAGCUGCGGCANAAAGCANAGAUUGUUGUCNCGAANUCGAAGAANNGAGCANGCGAGUGCCCUCNGAANAGUUGAGGGCUCGAAGCGUCGACCGGCUANUCGGCCGCUCNCCGCCAGUGCUCNGGGGCCGGUGCGCGGGAGCGCGGUGCCCAUCGGUCGAUGGCGCAAAGCAGAGUANGUGAUGUACACUUGCCAAACGACUCACGGUGGUGGAUCACUCGGUUCGCGAGCCGAUGAAGGACGUAGUCCAUGUGCGAAAAGUGAUGCGAACUGCAGAAUACAUUGAACGUUGAAUU